Molecule: unclassified non-coding RNA, 1922 nt
Filed under: Ixodes scapularis (black-legged tick)
Lineage: Eukaryota; Metazoa; Arthropoda; Arachnida; Ixodida; Ixodidae
Description: solute carrier family 45 member 3, transcript variant X2
Source: RNAcentral
GCCCGCGUUUUGCGUCGUGCUCGUAAAUCCUGCCCCCUCCAAGACACAUGUGCGUCCUCCAAAGCCGCCUAGCUCGAGCGUUGGGCCGUGUUGACGGCACGCUUCGUCAUCCGUCGGCGACGCGUCUCGGGAGACGGAACUCCUCGCCAAGUACUCUUCGCGCCGCUCCGUACGAACAGAAAGGUCGAAGGAGGUCAACCGGAUGACGGCCCGUCAAACAUAAUCGGCACUGAUUGUCUUCCUGUGGGAAAGGAGUUUGCUGGCGCAAAUCUCACUUUCUUCUUUCGUCUGCAGCAGAAGACCGACUCAUUGUCUCUUUUUUCCGGCUCAGGGCGACCGGCCAGGAGGCCAUGGGGCCAGUGGCGGGUCGUCGCCUCUGCUGGACGCUGAGCCUCAACCUCGUGGCGUUCGGCGCUCACCUCUGCGCUUGCGGAUGCUUCGUGUACCUGCCACCACUGCUACGAAGGGCCGAAUUCUCUGAGCAGGCCCGAGCCGCCGUGCUAGGCCUAGGGCCGCUCCUCUGCGUCCUGGGUGUGCCACUGGUAGGCGCCUGGAGCGAUGCCUGCACGAGUCGGCUGGGACGGCGUAGGCCUUUCCUCCUGGGCAUCGGCGCCCUGCUAGCGCUGUCUCUUGCGGGCGUCGCCUACGGCGAGUCCCUACGCAACGUGAUGGGAGCCAACGCCCACCGGGCCAUCCUGGCGACGUCUACGGUACUCCUGGACUUCGCCUCACAAGCGCUGCUCAACCCGUGCCAAGCGCUCGUGUGCGACCUCGUGCCCGACGUGGACUUCGGCUUCGCCGUGUACUCGUUCGCGUUGUCGCUGGGCGGCGUGUUGGGCUACCUGCUCAGUGGGCUCGACUGGACCAACACGGCGCUCGGACAGGCGGGGCAGGAAAGGGCCGUGUUCCUGUUACUUCUCUCCGUGUUCACGGCCUGUCUCGCGCUGAACCUGCUGGUAGCGGGCGAGAAACCGGCCGCGAGGACUGACGAGUACGUUGUGCUCAGCCAGGCGAAUGAUCACGAUGUGCUGGUCGAGUGCCCGAUGGACCGUCUGUUGGUGGUUGGUGCGUGUGACGCGAAUGGCGGACUGUGCUCGACGCCGGACGUUCCUGUGCGAAAGAAAUCUCAAGAGAGUCCAGGCCGCCAUCCGAAUGGUCUGGUACAACAUCUUCGCAAGACCCACUGGCACAAGAUGAGCACCAAGGAUGUGGUACGGACAGCUCUGUCGGCGGCUUUGCUGUUUGUGUGCAACGCCUUUUGCAAUGUGUUUAUCACCUUCCCGUCGUGGCUGGCGUCUUGCCUGCGUCUAGACGUCCUGACCAGUGUCCCAGGUCCGCUACGGACGUUGUUUGUGUUUCAACUUCUCGCCUGGAUGGCCGUCAUGUCCCAUUACGUCUACUUCACGGACUUCGCAGGAGAGGUCUUGUUCCACGGUAGGCCUGAGCAGACUGCCAGUCCUGCUGACAGACUCCUCUACGAUCGAGGGGUGCGCGCUGGAUCCUGGGGUCUCCUGGUGCACUGCGUCGCUUCGUCGGUGUAUUCGCUGUGCUUCCAAUGGCGGCUCACGGCACGAUUCGGGCAGCGUGUCGGCUUGUACACGGCCAUGGGCAGCUUCGCGCUUGCCCUGCCCGGUCUGCUGCUCUUCACCAACGUCGGGGCGCUGCUCACGCUCAGCGCCGUCACGGGACUGGCGUCUGCGGCGCUCGACUCCAUCCCGUAUGUCCUGGCCUGCUUCUACUGCGCCAACAAGCAGGUCUUACACGGGCCCAAAGAGGAGAGAUAGCACACACAACAAAUACAAUAGUAAUACAAACAGGAAGACACAGGAACACAACGCGAUUACUUCCAGGGAGCCAAGCACCAACCUGGCGUAGGUCAGUGCCUGGCGGUGCUGGACACUGCCGAGUACCUGGCGCAAGUG